RNAcentral lists this long non-coding RNA (1095 nucleotides) under Anolis carolinensis (green anole). RNAcentral's name for it is "lncRNA (ENSACAG00000045271.1)". Lineage: Eukaryota; Metazoa; Chordata; Lepidosauria; Squamata; Anolidae. The record is from RNAcentral.
AAUGGCAGCGUAAGGCUCUUCCUUUUCAUCCCAGCGGUGAGAGAUAAAGACGGAUCUCUCUCCAUCUCGGGCAGGAAGCAAACAAAACUCUCCCCGAACUUGACCGGCAGCUUAUACAGCCGGCGGGGAGGCAGGUCCGCGGAGGAGCGUCCCUGGGCGGAGAUUGGCUGGCGGGUGGGUUACGAAAGCGAGUGGGCGGGGCCUGUGGGGAGCCCGCGCUGGCACCGCCCACAGAACGCGCGGAGGGAGUCCUGGCCAGGCGCUCGUGCUCGUCGCCGGGGCUGGGAGGUGCCUGCCUGCCUCUGCCUGAUUCCUCCCGCCCUCCCCCUCCCCUCCUGCGCGUUCGCUCCCUCCCUCCUUCCUUCCCUCUCACCCACCACCCCUCCCCUGCCGGCGCGAGCGCUGUGCCGAGGCCGCCGCAUUGUUUGUGUGUUGCCGAGGAGGAGGAGGAGGAGGAAGGGGGGGAAGGCUCUCGGCCACGGGAAGGAGCCUCCGCAGCCGGACUGCGGGCCUUCGCGACGCGCUCUGCCGAAUGCGCCGCGACCGGACCCAGCAACCGCCACCUCCGCCGGGAGCGGUCUCCUCCUUCGCCACCGCCUCCUCCUCUCUCUCCCCGGACCCAGCAGCGCCGCCGCCGCCAUUAGUCUCCGCACGAAAGGAGGAGGAGGGCCUGUCAGCCGCGUCUCUGCGGCUCCCUCAGGUGAGAGCACAGGAGGCUCGGAGGCGGUGAGAGUAGUGUUGGGCGGGCGCCAUGUUUGGGCCCGCGUAUUAUUGUCCCGGGCGGGGGAAGGCGAGAGAGAGAGAGAGGAAGGAAGGCAGGCAGGCGUCGUCCUCCUGGCUGAGGGGAGAGUGAGCGGGCGGGCUGGCGGCUGGGCCUGGCGCGGAAGGAACCAUUCUGCGGGGCGGGGGGAGGGGAGCGCUGGGCCUGGGCAGGAACCAUUGGUGCGCGGGGGCGGGGCUUUGGAGGGGGCGGGGCCUGGAGCCCUCCUGCAACUGGGGCUGCGUGGGAGUGGGCCUCCAGGGCGAGACCAUUCUGGAAAGGGGGGGAGUUAUCCCUACAGUUUGGCUUGUUGCUGUCAUUUUCACGUAUUUUAA